AGUUUGGAUCCCGGGCUCCAGGGAUGAACGCUGGGCGGUCUUGUUUAACACAUGCAAGUCGAACGGGUGUCUUUCGGGACACAGUGGCCGGACCGGGUGAGUAACGCGUGAGAAUCUACCUUCAGGUUCGGGGGAUAACCCCUGGAAACGGGGGCUAAUACCGGAUAGGUCGAAAGAUGAAAGGUUAACUGCCUGAAGAGGAGCUCGCGUCUGAUUAGCUAGUAGGUGUGGUAAGAGCGCACCUAGGCGACGAUCAGUAGCUGGUCUGAGAGGAUGAGCAGCCACACUGGGACUGAGACACGGCCCAGACUCCUACGGGAGGCAGCAGUGGGGAAUUUUCCGCAAUGGGCGAAAGCCUGACGGAGCAAGACCGCGUGGGGGAGGAAGGCCUUUGGGUUGUAAACCCCUUUUGUUAGGGAAGAAAAAAAUGACGGUACCUAACGAAUCAGCCUCGGCUAACUCCGUGCCAGCAGCCGCGGUAAUACGGAGGAGGCAAGCGUUAUCCGGAAUUAUUGGGCGUAAAGCGUCCGUAGGUGGCCCGGCAAGUCUGCUGUCAAAGACCACAGCUCAACUGUGGAAAGGCAGUGGAAACUGCAAGGCUAGAGUGCGGUAGGGGUAGAGGGAAUUCCCAGUGUAGCGGUGAAAUGCGUAGAGAUUGGGAAGAACACCGGUGGCGAAAGCGCUCUACUGGGCCGCAACUGACACUGAUGGACGAAAGCUAGGGGAGCGAAUGGGAUUAGAUACCCCAGUAGUCCUAGCUGUAAACGAUGGAAACUAGGUGUAGCACGUAUCGACCCGAGCCGUGGCCGAAAGCAA
Molecule: ribosomal RNA, 816 nt
Filed under: Kamptonema animale ZDc
Lineage: Bacteria; Bacillati; Cyanobacteriota; Cyanophyceae; Oscillatoriales; Microcoleaceae
Description: bacterial SSU rRNA
Rfam family: Bacterial small subunit ribosomal RNA
Source: RNAcentral